Molecule: ribosomal RNA, 253 nt
Filed under: uncultured bacterium
Lineage: Bacteria
Description: partial 16S ribosomal RNA
Rfam family: Bacterial small subunit ribosomal RNA
Source: RNAcentral
UACGUAGGGUGCGAGCGUUGUCCGGAAUCAUUGGGCGUAAAGCGCGUGUAGGCGGCCCGGUAAGUCCGCUGUGAAAGUCGGGGGCUCAACCCUCGAAUGCCGGUGGAUACUGUCGGGCUAGAGUGCGGGAGAGGCGAGUGGAAUUCCUGGUGUAGCGGUGAAAUGCGUAGAGAUGUGGAGGAACACCAGUGGCGAAGGCGACUCUUUGGCCUGUAACUGACGCUGAGGCGCGAAAGCGUGGGGAGCAAACAGG